GAAACAGGGAUACGGAGGCGGUUAUGCCUCAUUCCUUUCGGCCACCCUUACGUCUACAGGAAGUUAACGGCCGGGACUGUCAUCAUUUAGGACAAAGGAGAAUGAUGUCACUGGUGUGGCAGUCAACUGCUUCCAAGGAGCCAGUCCAUCCUUCCUUGGAGUGGCUAAUUGACACAACUCUUUCCAAUGAGAUGGAAGUAAACAUUUGUUGAAGAGUUUUUGAAAACUUUGCUUUCAUCAUUAAAGAAGACAUAUAUCUUUCCUUUUGUGGACACAGGCAUGAUAGUUGGAGCUUCAGCAGCUAUCUUGUAAUCAUGAGAGAAAGGCCAAGGCUAGGGAAUUACAGACAUGUUGGUCCUACCAUGGUUGGGUAACUGAACCAACUCCAGCAACUACCCAAGAAACUUCCUGUUGUGAGAGAAUAAGCAAACUCAUAUUUAUUCUAACC
This 448-nucleotide long non-coding RNA is filed under the name Callithrix jacchus (white-tufted-ear marmoset). Its description in RNAcentral is "lncRNA (ENSCJAG00000076902.1)". The record is from RNAcentral. Lineage: Eukaryota; Metazoa; Chordata; Mammalia; Primates; Cebidae.